GUGGAUUAGAUACCCUAGUAGUCCACGCCCUAAACGAUGUCAACUGGUUGUUGGGAGGGUAAACCUCUUAGUAACGAAGCUAACGCGAGAAGUUGACCGCCUGGGGAGUACGGUCGCAAGAUUAAAACUCAAAGGAAUUGACGGGGACCCGCACAAGCGGGGGAUUAUGUGGAUUAAUUCGAUGCAACGCGAAAAACCUUACCUACCUUUGACAUGUCGAGAAUCCUGCAGAGAUGCGGGAGUGCCUUCGGGAACUCGAACACAGGUGCUGCACGGUCGUCGUCAACU
RNAcentral lists this ribosomal RNA (288 nucleotides) under uncultured bacterium. RNAcentral describes it as "partial 16S ribosomal RNA". It matches the Rfam family "Bacterial small subunit ribosomal RNA", at positions 773 to 1060 of the family's 1533-position model. The record is from RNAcentral.